AGUGAACGCUGGCGGUAGGCCUAACACAUGCAAGUCGAACGGCAGCACAGGAGAGCUUGCUCUCUAGGUGGCGAGUGGCGGAAGGGUGAGGAAUACAUCGGAAUCUGCCCAGUCGUGGGGGAUAACGUAGGGAAACUUACGCUAAUAACGCAUACGACCUUCGGGUGAAAGAGGGGGAUCGCAAGACCUCUCGCGAUUGGAUGAGCCGAUGUCGGAUUAGCUAGUUAGCGGGGUAAUGGCCCACCAAGGCGACGAUCCGUAGCUGGUCUGAGAGGAUGAUCAGCCACACUGGAACUGAGACACGGUCCAGACUCCUACGGGAGGCAGCAGUGGGGAAUAUUGGACAAAGGGCGCAAGCCUGAUCCAGCCAUACCGCGUGGGUGAAGAAGGCCUUCGGGUUGUAAAGCCCUUUUGUUGGGAAAGAAAUCUUUCAGGCUAAUACCCUGGGAGGAUGACGGUACCCAAAGAAUAAGCACCGGCUAACUUCGUG
This 490-nucleotide ribosomal RNA is filed under the name uncultured bacterium. RNAcentral's name for it is "partial 16S ribosomal RNA". It matches the Rfam family "Bacterial small subunit ribosomal RNA", at positions 29 to 507 of the family's 1533-position model. The record is from RNAcentral.